UGGGGAAUUUUGCACAAUGGGGGAAACCCUGAUGCAGCGACGCCGCGUGAUUUAGAAGGCCUUCGGGUUGUAAAAAUCUUUUCUAUGGGAAGAAAAUGACAGUACCAUAGGAAUAAGGACCGGCUAAUUACGUGCCAGCAGCCGCGGUAAUACGUAAGGUCCGAGCGUUGUCCGGAAUCAUUGGGCGUAAAGGGUACGUAGGCGGGUAAGCAAGUUAGAAGUGAAAUCCUAUAGCUCAACUAUAGUAAGCUUUUAAAACUGCUCAUCUUGAGGUAUGGAAGGGAAAGUGGAAUUCCUAGUGUAGCGGUGAAAUGCACAUAUAUUAGGAGGAAUACCGGUGGCGAAGGCGACUUUCUGGCCAUAACCUGACGCUGAGGUACGAAAGCGUGGGUAGCAAACAGG
This 402-nucleotide ribosomal RNA is filed under the name bacterium. RNAcentral's name for it is "partial 16S ribosomal RNA". It matches the Rfam family "Bacterial small subunit ribosomal RNA", at positions 355 to 776 of the family's 1533-position model. The record is from RNAcentral.